This is a non-coding RNA of Salmo salar (Atlantic salmon), 143 nucleotides long. Lineage: Eukaryota; Metazoa; Chordata; Actinopteri; Salmoniformes; Salmonidae. The record is from RefSeq and is a predicted model, not a curated record.
GGCACUGCUCAGGGCUAGGUGUGACGGCGGUGGCACUGCUCUGGGCUAGGUGUGACGGCGGUGGCACUGCUCUGGGCUAGGUGUGACGGCGGUGGCACUGCUCUGGGCUAGGUGUGACGGGGUCAAUUUGGUCAACUCAGGAA